AUUUUUCCUUGGCAGCAGAGAUACUGUGAUCGCAAAGGUGGUGUUCCCAGGGCAAAGCUUACCUGCUGCACUCCAGUUGUGCUGACACUUGUGAUUUCGCCAAAUGUGGGGAAGUUGUCCAACGCCAUAACUCGUGGGAGUGGGGGACAGCCUUCAUGCUCCCCUCUG
This is a small nuclear RNA of Phyllostomus discolor (pale spear-nosed bat), 168 nucleotides long. RefSeq annotates it as U1 spliceosomal RNA. The record is from RefSeq and is a predicted model, not a curated record. Lineage: Eukaryota; Metazoa; Chordata; Mammalia; Chiroptera; Phyllostomidae. The transcript has a single exon.